GGGUCUUUAGCUCAGCAGUAGAGCGGCAGACUUCGGCUUCAUAUCGAAGGUCCUAACCACAGGCAUUCUGCAGGUCGCGGGUUCAAUCCCCGUAGGACUCU
This is a non-coding RNA of Melanopsichium pennsylvanicum, 101 nucleotides long. The record is from the annotation of a GenBank genome assembly. NCBI's taxonomy places the organism in Eukaryota, Fungi, Basidiomycota, Ustilaginomycetes, Ustilaginales.